Molecule: long non-coding RNA, 2307 nt
Filed under: Nilaparvata lugens (brown planthopper)
Lineage: Eukaryota; Metazoa; Arthropoda; Insecta; Hemiptera; Delphacidae
Description: uncharacterized LOC120355578
Source: RNAcentral
AGAGAGAAAGGAUGUAGUUCAGAAAUUAUAAUGUGAAGAGCAUUUCAAAAUAAACCGCGCAUAUUUCUUUCGAGAGUGUUGCUUUGAUAAAGUUCAAUGUCAACAGCAGCUGGCUUCACCAGUAAAAUUUCAGACUGAAUCGACGAUCUUAAUUGGGAAUUUUUGACCAGAGAACGUUACACUGGCCAGCCUGCAUACCGGGAAAGUAAAAUUAUUUUGAACAACUGCAAGAUAGAGAUUUUGCUGUCAGUAUAGCUUGUUGAUAGUGUGAAGUGUGGGUGCUGUUCCGUUAUCAGCAGACCCGUUCGUAAUUGUUUAUCUUCUAUAACUGUGACUUUCAAUAACAAAACUCUUCACCUGCAUACAGAGACGAGCAAUACGCUAUGAAACCACGAUACUGAAUGUUACGAAAAUUCACUUUCACACACCAAAACAUAUUACACAGUGUAGAUGGGCGGAUAGAAAGCGUGAACAUCAAAAGCCAUCGUGUGUUACCCAGUUUCCAUUCUGCAUCUAACAAUAGGAACCAAGCAUCCAACAUCAUAACUUUAUUAUUAUAUAGUCCAGACAAUGAAUGCUCAAAAGAGGGUAUAGAGAGAAAGGUUUGGAAGACUAUAUUUGACCCCGCAAUUUUGUUUUGGGUAUUAAGGAGGUAAAAAUAUCCCCACCCUUCCCCUUGUGAUAAGGGGGUGGGGUGGUUCAAAGGUACCAGUUUUUGGUUUCUCGCAUAUAACUCGAAAACUAUGUAUCUUACGGACAUAACUGUUACAUACAAAAGUAUUAUAUAAUUUUUAUAAUUUCCUACAAUAUUCAUCUCACAACUUUUCUAGUUUUCGAGAUAUCCGCUCUUAAAUGUGUGACAUUUUUGAAAAAAACACGUUCGCCUCCAAUUUUUUUCUAUCUCUACUCUUAUAACUUUUUAAAAAUUGAUGGGAAAAAUCAAUGCAGAUUAUGAGCUCAUAGAGCCUCUUUCAGGAAUUAUAACUCUCCAACAAUGCAUCGUAAAAAUCAAUGCUUAUCGUAGGUUUAUAGAGCAUUAAAUUCUCUUUUAAAUGGUUUAUUAUUUCACUAUUCAAAGUUUCUGUUUCAUUGUUAUAGCAACUUUAAUGUAGGGGAUGAAAUUUCCAAUGCUACAACAAUAUUAUUAUUCAUUUGGCAAUGAAAUUUGAAGCGGGUGUCUGUGACACAAUUUUUGACGUUGCAGCUUAAUUUUGACUAGUUAGUAGAUUAACAUAGCAAAAGUGCACAUCUUUAUCCCCUCUGUUGAAGGUUUGGAACCACUGAGUUGACACUAGUUGCAAUAUUGAAAAUGUUGCUACAUUGCACUAUCAUUUUUGAUCAUUUGUUACAUCACACAACUAUUAUAUGAAUACUUUGUAUUGUUGUAACCAAAUUGAAUCAAUUGACAAUUCCUUUUUUACUGCUUAUUCAAAUUUACUAUUUUGUUAUUUUUGAUUUUCAUUAAACGUCUUUUUUCCUACUUAGUGCAGUCAUCAUAACUUUUAAGGCCAUUUGUAAAGUGUCACUUAUAUCAAUAAAUGCAAUCAUUUGUUAUUGUUACAUUGUCUUACAAUUUCUUGGCGUCUACCUUGCUACCAGGUAUUUAGUAGUUUUACUCAUAAGUUUUAUGUGAGUUUGGGUAAAGGUAUUGAUGAACAACAUCAGCCUUCUAUUAAUUAUAUUUAUUAUUUAACAUACAUUUCAUUCAACUUAGUAUACAGUCCACUUGAAGUCCCUCAUACCAAACACAUCAGAUACAUAGUUUUCGAGUUAUAUGUGAGAAACCAAAAAAAUUUAUCUUUAAAACACCCCCACCCCCUUAGCACAAGGGGUGGGGGGGACUUUUGAUAUGUUUACCCCCUUACCACCCUAAACAGAACUGCGGGGCCAAAAAUUGUCUUCCAAACUUUUCCCCUCUAUAACCUUUCCUUGACUGCACUGUAUAAUUAUCAUCCAGUUAAUUUUGAUAUCACAUUAAUUAAAAAGCUUCCCUCAUAGUAUAAUUUUUCAAUAUUUUACCAAUUUUAUAAUACACAAGAAAUCAAUAUAUUACCGAGGUUGUCAAAGAUGUGAAUUUUCAAUGUGUUUUGAUGUAAAUUAUUGCAAAAAACUAAUAUCAUGGUUAGCUAUGCAUAAAGAGGCAUGAUAGCAUGAUGGUCAUUCUUUACUGAAUCGAAAUAAGCUGUUAUAACUUUUUCUACUAUUAAUUUGGUUUUCAAUAAACUAGUUAUGAUCAGAUGCAUUACUAAAUGCAAAAUUCAUGUCGGUUAUGUAGCUUUUCUGCAAUAAACUAGAAUUACUCAAUAA